Molecule: ribosomal RNA, 497 nt
Filed under: uncultured bacterium
Lineage: Bacteria
Description: partial 16S ribosomal RNA
Rfam family: Bacterial small subunit ribosomal RNA
Source: RNAcentral
GAUGAACGCUGGCGGCGUGCCUAAUACAUGCAAGUCGAGCGAACAGACGAGGAGCUUGCUCCUCUGACGUUAGCGGCGGACGGGUGAGUAACACGUGGAUAACCUACCUAUAAGACUGGGAUAACUUCGGGAAACCGGAGCUAAUACCGGAUAAUAUAUUGAACCGCAUGGUUCAAUAGUGAAAGACGGUUUUGCUGUCACUUAUAGAUGGAUCCGCGCCGCAUUAGCUAGUUGGUAAGGUAACGGCUUACCAAGGCGACGAUGCGUAGCCGACCUGAGAGGGUGAUCGGCCACACUGGAACUGAGACACGGUCCAGACUCCUACGGGAGGCAGCAGUAGGGAAUCUUCCGCAAUGGGCGAAAGCUUGACGGAGCAACGCCGCGUGAGUGAUGAAGGUCUUCGGAUCGUAAAACUCUGUUAUUAGGGAAGAACAAAUGUGUAAGUAACUAUGCACGUCUUGACGGUACCUAAUCAGAAAGCCACAGCUAACUACGUG